CCUACGAGAGGCAGCAGUGAGGAAUAUUGGUCAAUGGUCGGGAGACUGAACCAGCCAAGCCGCGUGAGGGAUGAAGGUACAGAGUAUCGUAAACCUCUUUUGUCAGGGAACAAAGGCGGGGACGUGUCCCCGGAUGAGUGUACCUGAAGAGAAAGCAUCGGCUAACUCCGUGCCAGCAGCCGCGGUAAUACGGAGGAUCCGAGCGUUAUCCGGAUUUAUUGGGUUUAAAGGGAGCGUAGGCGGGUUGUUAAGUCAGUUGUGAAAGUUUGCGGUUCAACCGUAAAAUUGCAGUUGAUACUGGCAGCCUUGAGUACAGUAGAGGUAGGCGGAAUUCGUGGUGUAGCGGUGAAAUGCUUAGAUAUCACGAAGAACUCCGAUUGCGAAGGCAGCCUGCUGGACUGUAACUGACGCUGAUGCUCGAAAGUGUGGGUAUCAAACAGGAUUAGAUACCCGUGUAGUC
RNAcentral lists this ribosomal RNA (460 nucleotides) under uncultured bacterium. Its description in RNAcentral is "partial 16S ribosomal RNA". It matches the Rfam family "Bacterial small subunit ribosomal RNA", at positions 338 to 795 of the family's 1533-position model. The record is from RNAcentral.